RNAcentral lists this ribosomal RNA (478 nucleotides) under uncultured bacterium. Its description in RNAcentral is "partial 16S ribosomal RNA". It matches the Rfam family "Bacterial small subunit ribosomal RNA", at positions 28 to 507 of the family's 1533-position model. The record is from RNAcentral.
GAUGAACGCUGGCGGCGUGCUUAACACAUGCAAGUCGAACGAGAAGUGAAGACGGAAACCUUCGGGCGGAAGGCUUUAUUUCGAGUGGCGGACGGGUGAGUGACGCGUGGGUAACCUGCCUCAUACAGGGGGAUAACAGUUGGAAACGACUGUUAAUACCGCAUAAGACCACAGCACCGCAUGGUGCGGGGGUAAAAACUCCGGUGGUAUGAGAUGGACCCGCGUUCGAUUAGCCAGUUGGCGGGGUAACGGCCCACCAAAGCGACGAUCGAUAGCCGAUCUGAGAGGAUGACCGGCCACAUUGGGACUGAGACACGGCCCAAACUCCUACGGGAGGCAGCAGUGGGGAAUAUUGCACAAUGGGGGAAACCCUGAUGCAGCGACGCCGCGUGAGUGAAGAAGUAUUUCGGUAUGUAAAGCUCUAUCAGCAGGGAAGAAAAUGACGGUACCUGAGUAAGAAGCCCCGGCUAACUACGUG